This 819-nucleotide long non-coding RNA is filed under the name Oryza sativa (Asian cultivated rice). Its description in RNAcentral is "long non-coding RNA (OSAT_LNC001046)". The record is from RNAcentral. Lineage: Eukaryota; Viridiplantae; Streptophyta; Magnoliopsida; Poales; Poaceae.
CCGCAGAUAGUACACCGGCUAUCUAUCCAUCUAUCUACUCAGCUUUGCGUCCUCCCGCGAAUUCACCGCAGCAAUGGCGUCCCUCGUCGCCGUCCAGCCUGUCGCCGUGAAGGGCCUCGCCGGCAGCUCCAUCUCCGGCAGGAAGCUCGCCGUCAGGCCGUCGCCCCGGGCGCUCUGCCGCACCACCCGCAGGUACAUACGAGGAGUACGCGAGUAACAGUGGAGAUGCACUUGAUAUUGCAGUGGCAAGAGGUGUAUGUGGUUUCAAUCCCGAGAUCCCGUGUUCAAUUCUUAUCACGCUCAUAAUUUCUUUGCUACAGGCCGCGCGCCGCCGUGGUGGCCAAGUACGGCGAGAAGAGCGUCUACUUCGACCUCGAGGACAUCGGCAACACCACCGGGCAGUGGGACCUGUACGGCUCCGACGCGCCGUCGCCGUACAACCCUCUCCAGGUUAGUAUUACCUGACUAAAAUAUAUACUUAGCUCGAUGAUUAAUUUACUGAAUAAUUCGUGUGGGUGAUCGAUGCAGAGCAAGUUCUUCGAGACGUUCGCGGGGCCCUUCACCAAGAGGGGGCUCCUGCUCAAGUUCCUGCUGCUCGGCGGCGGAUCGCUGGUGGCCUACGUCAGCGCGUCGGCGUCGCCAGACCUGCUUCCGAUCAAGAAGGGCCCGCAGCUGCCGCCGACGCCCGGCCCACGCGGCAAGAUCUAAAUUAAAUUCCUCGUCUCUGCCUCACCUUCUUCUUGAUCCGAUCCAUCCAUGCAAAUCCUCUGUACUGUACUGCUAGUCCCCCAUGGCCGGAUCGCCAUGGAUUAAUUCCCC